Molecule: small nucleolar RNA, 75 nt
Organism: Pteronotus mesoamericanus
Lineage: Eukaryota; Metazoa; Chordata; Mammalia; Chiroptera; Mormoopidae
Product: small nucleolar RNA SNORD113/SNORD114 family
Exons: 1
Source: RefSeq, a predicted model, not a curated record
UGGGCUGGUGACGACAGCUGGCGGCGGGUAGGUCAGAGACGACGAGUACUAUGUGUCUGGGUCUUUGAGGUCCAU